This 1846-nucleotide long non-coding RNA is filed under the name Homo sapiens (human). Its description in RNAcentral is "non-protein coding lnc-KLHL31-2:9". Lineage: Eukaryota; Metazoa; Chordata; Mammalia; Primates; Hominidae. The record is from RNAcentral.
GCAUUAGACUCUCCAUGGGCUCCAUAGACUCUCCUGUACCUUACGACUAGGCACAGGAGCGUUUCCCCGGUGAAAUGGAGAAGAGGACACUUGGUCUUUUCAACUUUACUAGGAGGGCUCCUUUCUUCCCAGUCCGUAAGGAGGGGUCUGACUUUCAUUUCCACCCCAGCAUUAUCACCUUAACUCUCAUUCCAGUCAAUCCCGAAACUCCGUUGCCCUACCCACUUCACCCUUCUUUUGUUUGUCCUGAUUUGAUUCCUGCGUUCUCACAGAGGGCUACCUGGACUUUGAACCUCCACCCCCCUUUCUACAUUCUUGCAUUCCAGAAACAUAUGAAGCUCAUUUCUGCCACCCUUCCUAGAAAACUGGUUCCUGACAGAGACAUGUGGAAAGGUAAGUAAGUCCCUGUCUUCAAGUUUUCCAACUGCUUUUUAAAAAAAAAAUUAAAGAAGGCUAGUUCCCUCCAUUUAAAAUAAUGUGAUUUCCAGAGGUUAUCACACUAGAUUAUUUUAACGAACACCAAAUGUAUUUUAAAGACGUGUCCAGUCUUUUAAAAAUUCAGACCUCAAUAAGCAUUCCUUGUGUGCCUCUCCAUGAUGCUUCAGCUUCUCUGUGUUAUUAUUUUUGUAUCACCUUAAUCCGAAAGAGAUUAUGACCUCUUAAACAACAGAUACUGUCUCACUUGCUUUGUAGAUCUGGGAAGCUGCCACAGUGCCAUAUGCACAGUCAAUGAUCAACAGUUUUUGUUGAUUUAAUUCUAUGGGUAGUCACUGGGAGAAUUCUUGACUUUCCUUGUUUCCAAUAAUCUGCCAAGAAUUUGAAACAGCGUAGUAAGAGAGAAAAAAUGAAACAACACCUUGUCAACUACAGAAUAGGGAAGCAAUUAACUUUUUACUCACCUGAAGAAUUUUAGGGUUUCCCGCCUGAUAAAACAUCUAGUUUCUUCCGCCACAUACAAAUGAGUUUGACUCAAUUUAAACAAAGUUUAAAAAGACCACCUAAAUCACUUUAUUCUUAGAAUAAUGUAAUUCUUUUAUUCAUUUGUACUGUGAACCAUGUUUUCACAGCCUUUGAGCUAAAGAGAUCUGUGUUUGAACUCUUGUUAUGCCACUAGCUUCGUAGAAAUUGACAGUUUACUUAACUUGUAUAAGCCUCAGUUUUAUCAUAUCUCAAAUGAGGAUGAUUCAUGGGAUUGUUAUCUGGAUUAAAUGAAAUGACAUAUGUAAAAUGCUUAGUACAGUAUCAGACACACAUUACUUUAAUCAAUAAAUAUUAAUUAUGCACUUUAUUAGCCAGCCUCCAGGAAGUUAGGGACAACAUCCACCAUCUCCUGGUUGGUCUAUGUAACCAACUUUUUCUUUCUCGAAUCACUCACUUUGGGGAAGCCAGCUGCCAUGUUGAGCAAAUCUAGAGCUCCACAUGCCAAAGAAUUGCAGACUGCUGACAACAACUAGCAAGGGACUGACGAUUCUUGGCAGUAGUCAUGUGAGUGAGCCAUCUUGGAAGCCAGUUCUCCAGCCCUUGUCAAGCCUUCAAGUGACUGCAGCACCAGCUGAUAGCUUGACUAAAACCUCAUGAUAGCCUCAGACUCAGGACCACUCAGCUAAGCUGCUCCCCACUCUUGCCCCUCAGAAAUUAUGUGAGACAGUAAAUGUUUGUUGCUUUAAGCUGCUAAGAUUUGGAGUAAUUUAUUACACAGCAACAAAUAACUAAUAAAGGUACAUACUAUGCACCAGGCAUUGUGCUAGAUACUAGAAAUGUAAGAAAAACAAGAUAGGUCUUAGCCUCAUGAAGCUUACUCUCUGAAGUUAGGAGAAUGAUAAAUACUUAGUGGUCUGUUGUUGCU